GGCCUAACACAUGCAAGUCGAACGAAGGCUUCGGCCUUAGUGGCGCACGGGUGCGUAACGCGUGGGAAUCUGCCCCUUGGUUCGGAAUAACAGUUGGAAACGACUGCUAAUACCGGAUGAUGACGUAAGUCCAAAGAUUUAUCGCCGAGGGAUGAGCCCGCGUAGGAUUAGCUAGUUGGUGUGGUAAAGGCGCACCAAGGCGACGAUCCUUAGCUGGUCUGAGAGGAUGAUCAGCCACACUGGGACUGAGACACGGCCCAGACUCCUACGGGAGGCAGCAGUGGGGAAUAUUGGACAAUGGGCGAAAGCCUGAUCCAGCAAUGCCGCGUGAGUGAUGAAGGCCUUAGGGUUGUAAAGCUCUUUUACCCGGGAUGAUAAUGACAGUACCGGGAGAAUAAGCUCCGGCUAACUCCGUGCCAGCAGCCGCGGUAAU
Molecule: ribosomal RNA, 433 nt
Filed under: uncultured bacterium
Lineage: Bacteria
Description: bacterial SSU rRNA
Rfam family: Bacterial small subunit ribosomal RNA
Source: RNAcentral